CUUAUCCUUUCGGCUAACAAUUAAACUUCCCUCUUCUUGUAUCCUAGAUCUCUCUCUCUCUCUUCUUAUCCUUGCGACCUUGCCUACUCCAAUGAGAGUUACCGGACGGGAUGUUCCUCUCCGGGAAGUCUGCGUUAUCUGUAGCAGCGCUCCGACAUCAUUUUCAGAUAUGUGGCAGGGCUCUCUCUAUUAGAGUUGGAUCUCGAGAUACUUCAUAUUGUGUUCAGAUCUAUGGGUUUGUGAUUAUACAGUUUCUAUGCCGUCGAAACCCAUCCCAUCUUGAGCUAUUCCCGAUUGAGCAGUCCGGUGCUUUCUCCAACUCUCUCCUACUCUUUUAGACGAAGCAAAAGAAGGAGCCUUUCACCGCUAAAAUUCCAAAGAAGCCCAAGAAGAAGGUAGAGAGGAACUGGAAUUAAAUAUCAAGGAUGAAUCUGAUGAGUUCAGAUUACCAACUGACCAGGAACUUGAACAAGAGGCGCAUCAACCUCCUGAUCUUUCACACCUUCAGGGGAGGUUAAAAGAGAGUAAGUUGUACCUCCACUAGUUUAUGUAUUAUAUGUUUGGGUUCAUAUUAUGGCUACAAUGACUUUUUGAUUGGAGCUUUAGUAGAGGUGACUGAUUGAUUCUUUAAUGUUGUGAUGGAGCUGUUGGAAAAACUUGCAUGCUGAUCUCUUAUACCAACAUUACCUUCCCCACUGUAAGAAGCAUGGUGUUAAUUUCAUCAUGAUUCAUAUAUAACUAAUCAGUCAAGUUUGUUUCAUUGAUUUAGGACAUAUUUUUUAAUUGCUAAUGUGGUGGUGGAUGGAAGCACAGUUAUCCUUUGGAUUAUGGGACACUGCAGGUAAGUAAUUGCUCUAUGUGGGUGCUUGGUUUCUACUAGUCUGCUAUUUUACCAUGGUGAAGAUUAUCAAGGCUGGUCUUAUAAGCGCUUAUAUCAUAAAAACACUCUACUUUGGAAGGCAUUCUACAGAUCGUGAAGUUGCUCUCAUGAUGCUUAUGGCUUAUUUGUCAUACAUGUUGGCUGAGGUACCCUAAAACAGAAUAUGGAUAACUACAACUACUUGGACCUUAAUUAUGAAGGUUUUAAGUGAAUGCAGAAGAUUAUUACAAAGGAACUGAUAAUGUUUUAGAUUUUAGCAUGGUGAUGAUAUGUUGGUUUAGUUACGUUGUUUUUGUACAAUACUCAAUUGUUGUUGGCAUAUAAAUGUAUAAUUUACAUUUUCUAAUGUGAUACUUGCAGUUUGUUAUCUCUCUUUUUAUCUCAAUAAAUUGUAUAGAUUUAUUUCAA
This is a long non-coding RNA of Rosa chinensis, 1288 nucleotides long. RefSeq lists it as uncharacterized. The record is from RefSeq and is a predicted model, not a curated record. The transcript is spliced from 6 exons. NCBI's taxonomy places the organism in Eukaryota, Viridiplantae, Streptophyta, Magnoliopsida, Rosales, Rosaceae.